Molecule: transfer-messenger RNA, 358 nt
Filed under: Candidatus Zixiibacteriota bacterium
Lineage: Bacteria; Pseudomonadati; Candidatus Zixiibacteriota
Description: candidate division Zixibacteria bacterium transfer-messenger RNA
Rfam family: transfer-messenger RNA
About the family: Bacterial tmRNA, also known as 10Sa RNA or SsrA, is named for its dual tRNA and mRNA-like properties. Its role is to liberate the mRNA from a stalled ribosome.
Source: RNAcentral
GGGGGCGAACUGGUUUCGACGGGGUUAUUGAGGAGAAACUGGCGUGCCGAGGUUCCCGGUCACCUCGUUAAUCAACUGGGAAAAAACCUAAACGCAAACACUUCGUAUGCGUUAGCCGCCUAAUUCUAGGCGGUUCCCUCCUCCGGGACUUUCCUGUUGGUUUCGGAGUCGAGGGUCGGUAAAGACAGGAUAGUUCCGAUUUGAGCCUUGCAAAUCGGAGCGAAAACACAAAGGCUGGCAGGAUCGGUAGCCUGCUUGUCGGCGACCCCUCCUGCGAGAACCAAAAGAUAAGCUACGCACGUAGAAGGUUUCUUGUAGGUAUCCUCGGACGGGGGUUCGAUUCCCCCCGCCUCCAUUU